This 424-nucleotide ribosomal RNA is filed under the name Verrucomicrobiota bacterium. RNAcentral's name for it is "Verrucomicrobia bacterium partial 16S ribosomal RNA". It matches the Rfam family "Bacterial small subunit ribosomal RNA", at positions 355 to 776 of the family's 1533-position model. Lineage: Bacteria; Pseudomonadati; Verrucomicrobiota. The record is from RNAcentral.
UGAGGAAUAUUGGUCAAUGGGCGAGAGCCUGAACCAGCCAAGUAGCGUGCAGGAUGACGGCCCUAUGGGUUGUAAACUGCUUUUAUAUGGGAAUAAAGUGAGGGACGUGUCCCUUAUUGCAUGUACCAUACGAAUAAGGACCGGCUAAUUCCGUGCCAGCAGCCGCGGUAAUACGGAAGGCCCAGGCGUUAUCCGGAUUUAUUGGGUUUAAAGGGAGCGUAGGCUGUUUGUUAAGCGUGUUGUGAAAUGUAAGAGCUCAACUUUUAGAUUGCAGCGCGAACUGGCAGACUUGAGUGCGCACAACGUAGGCGGAAUUCAUGGUGUAGCGGUGAAAUGCUUAGAUAUCAUGACGAACUCCGAUUGCGAAGGCAGCUUACGGGAGCGCAACUGACGCUAAAGCUCGAAGGUGCGGGUAUCGAACAGG